UUAGAAUCAAUCAAUGGAAAAAAAGUCCAUAAUCUUCAAAAUACAACAUUUUAAAUAAAGACAGUGUAACUCUUAUGCUAAAACAUCUUUUUCAGAGCCCUUUUAUUGGGGAGGAGAUCCGUAUUAGAAGUAAUUUUUUCUUAAUGAAGAGGCAAAACUUUACUAGUUGGAGAAUGUGCAAGGAUACCCUUUCGAAUAUUAGUUUUUUCUCCAACUAUUUUCUUCUCCGUUUCUCUAAGGUUAAGUGGGCAGCCACUCUGUACUUGGUUGCCUGAGGGACGUUAUUUGGUAUAGUGAAAAUCAGAAACGUAAGAUCCUGUGCCUUUUAUUUUCCCAAACCAUAACUCUUGACAUGAAUAUGGACGGCUUUCAAAAGAAGUAAAAAUGUUGGAGAGAGUUCCAUGGCAUAGACAAAGUGGCUUAGGCAAAAAUAUGAAGGGGGAAGGAUUUUCCUGAACUUGAAAGAUUCUUUUAGGACAUAAGCCUGCAGAGGGAUGGGAAAAAUCUCCUUAUAUGACUGAGGUCAAUGAAUUUUGCCUGUCUGGUAGGAGUGAGGGCUCAAAUAGAGAUUGAUUGCAUUUAUUGUAAUGUAACUGUGUGAUGUUUCUCAAACACUUUUGUUUGUGAACUAAGGAUCGUACUUAGGGCUGUCAAAUUGUAUUUUACCAAUAUAGAGUUUAACAUAAUUGUCUCUAUUCUUUUUACCAAAUACAUGAUGUACGAGAGCAGGGACUUUGUAAAUCUAUCACCAUUGUUUCCUCUGGCAUAGAGUAUAUGCUGAGUUAAUGAUAUGGUAGAUAAAUGAAUUUCAGUGCAUGAGAUGGUUGUUUAAACUCUUUCGCAUAGGAAAGCAAGUGUCCAGUGUAUAUUUUAAAGAAUAGUGUGUAAUACUUACAUAUUUCUGUGUAUGUGUAUCAUAAUUACAGUAAUAAUCAUGUUUGAUAUAACUUAUUUAAUGAACAAGUCCUUUGAAAGUUAUGAAGUGCACUACAUGAGUAAGGUAUUUAUCAUAUUAAUAUUAAUAAAAUGUAUUCUUAGACUGGCACCAAAGUUUAUCAACAAUGUAUCCUGCAGUAAGCUUGCUGCAUUUGGAGAAAACUGGGCUCUAGAAGUGGAUACAUCUUUGGAAACACUGUGACAAUUAUGUGAAAGUGCAGUUGUCCUGCUGAAUCACUGCUGCUAUUUCCUGAGCUUCAAGUUAGGGCUGAGACCCUCAGAAGUCUCAUCAGUCAACAUCUUCCAUGGUCUACAGAUUCAUGAGAAGUUUGGAACACAGAGUCACUGGCUGCAUUUUAAAGCAGCAACUUAAUGGAGCCUGAAAUUUUAAGUUAUCGUGGCUGGAGAUCAGAUUGUCUACCUGCCUUGUGGGAAUCUGGAGAGGGUUGAUGAGAUGAGCUCUUUGGAAGAAUCAUUGCUAUAUAAAUAUGAAUCAGAGCAAAGACAAUAAUUCUGCCUCCAAAUUGCCUUAGGAGUUAAACAGUGUUCAAUAAACAUAGUAUAAUA
Molecule: long non-coding RNA, 1503 nt
Organism: Callithrix jacchus (white-tufted-ear marmoset)
Lineage: Eukaryota; Metazoa; Chordata; Mammalia; Primates; Cebidae
Source: RefSeq, a predicted model, not a curated record